GAUCCCAAGCUUGCUGCUGGAUUAGUGGCGAACGGGUGAGUAACACGUGAGUAACCUGCCCUUAACUCUGGGAUAAGCCUGGGAAACUGGGUCUAAUACCGGAUAUGACUCCUCAUCGCAUGGUGGGGGGUGGAAAGCUUUUUGUGGUUUUGGAUGGACUCGCGGCCUAUCAGCUUGUUGGUGAGGUAAUGGCUUACCAAGGCGACGACGGGUAGCCGGCCUGAGAGGGUGACCGGCCACACUGGGACUGAGACACGGCCCAGACUCCUACGGGAGGCAGCAGUGGGGAAUAUUGCACAAUGGGCGCAAGCCUGAUGCAGCGACGCCGCGUGAGGGAUGACGGCCUUCGGGUUGUAAACCUCUUUCAGUAGGGAAGAAGCGAAAGUGACGGUACCUGCAGAAGAAGCGCCGGCUAACUACGUGCCAGCAGCCGCGGUAAUACGUAGGGCGCAAGCGUUAUCCCGGAAUUAUUGGGGCGUAAAGAGCUCGUAGGCGGUUUGUCGCGUCUGCCGUGAAAGUCCGGGUCUCAACUCCGGAUCUGCGGUGGGUACGGGCAGACUAGAGUGAUGUAGGGGAGACUGGAAUUCCUGGGUAGCCGUGAAAUGCGCAGAUAUCAGGAGGAACACCGAUGGCGAAGGCAGGUCUCUGGCCAUUAACUGACGCUGAGGAGCGAAAGCAUGGGGAGCGAACA
Molecule: ribosomal RNA, 691 nt
Filed under: Arthrobacter sp.
Lineage: Bacteria; Bacillati; Actinomycetota; Actinomycetes; Micrococcales; Micrococcaceae
Description: bacterial SSU rRNA
Rfam family: Bacterial small subunit ribosomal RNA
Source: RNAcentral